UUGAGUGUCUGGAAGCUGAGUUGAAAUUUGAGCUAAAUUGGUUUCACUUUGUUCUUUAUCUGUUUGUUUCAACACCAACAUGCUGCAUGCAACACCCUGAUUAUUCAUGUGGUAAAUCGUACGAUGACAUGAAUUUCUUGUCAGCAAUACGUCAUAGAUUUGUAGCGGUUAUUUUUUUUAGCUUUAAUUACUUAUUUGUUGCUUAUAUUUUCAUCCUAGUAUCAUUUACUCCUUAUAAUAUUUUUGUAGUGC
This 252-nucleotide long non-coding RNA is filed under the name Glycine max (soybean). Its description in RNAcentral is "long non-coding RNA (GMAX_LNC000478)". The record is from RNAcentral. Lineage: Eukaryota; Viridiplantae; Streptophyta; Magnoliopsida; Fabales; Fabaceae.